CUUCCUUUACCAGUCCAAAUGCUAUACCGGUUAAACUCCGCCAUUUUGCCUCUUAGUGCUCAUGCUUGAGCCCGCUUGCCCAACUCCUGAGAUGUCAUCGGGAAGCUGCUGAUCAGCAAUUACAGAGAUGCUCUUCUCACCUCUCAUUCGGAAUCUACUCUCAAUUAUAUAUAAGACGAACACAGCAAGCAGUCACCGUCUAUGAACUAGAAAGCUGAUUCACCAGACACCGAAUCUGCCAGCACCUUGGUCUUGGACUUCCCAGCCUCCAGAACUAGGAAAUGUUCCAACACAUCUGAGGAAACACAUGCCUUCCCAGACUGGCCUGUUGCUGUUUCCCAGGAGCUGCAUUCUGGAAGGUGGACCAUCAGGUGGAAGAAGUAUUCUUCAGAGAGCUGCCUUCCCAAGGGAAUGGUGACAGCUUGCGCUUGCCGGGGAGUCCUGCUGCCUUCCGAGGUGUGAAGGGAAGGCAUGCACUGUGCAUAUGCUGUACCAUACAGUUUUGCCUACAACUGCUUGUAGCUUCAUUGUAGCUGUGAAUGCUCCGUUCCUCUCCUUUUCACCCCUGAAGAUUCGCGAACAUGCAGGAUUGAGCUGUGCGAGGCAUAGCAUUCCCCACAUGGUAGACGAAGGCGGAUGUGGGUCUGAUGGCUCUACUGCCGUCCACCCGGGAGGAUGGACGUGUGUUCCGGGAUAUCAGAGCUUGCGGCUGACCAGCCCACAUGUCCAUGCAGCCCUCCCGCUGGCUGUGUCGACAUUUUGGGUGUCACUGAAGGAUUUUACUGGUGCAGACUUUACAAAGGCAAAAUUGUUUCUCAAGGAAGUGGACAUGAAAGAUCUAAAAUCAGGGCUGCUUAAAAAAAGCAAGCACAGAUUAAUGACCUAUCUACAUCCUACACGGUUUUAGGACUGCGCCUAGAUGGGCUUAAAGACCCUAGCCUAAAAACUGUAAAUGUGCUUCCGUCUUUGCCCUGUAGGACAAGAAAGCCUUACGGGCUUGCUUCUAACUGUGAGAGGAGGAGAGGCCAGGAAGGGAGAGGGAGAAAAGGAGGAGAACAGGAGACGAGAAGGAGGGGAGAGUGAGGAGAGGAGGAGAGAGGCUUGUCAAAAUCUUUUUAGUGCACAAAACUAAUUUUGUUCAUCUUGGAUUUGGUGAGCUGGGUAAUAUUCUGUGCACGGCUCCUAAAUGAAUUAUUAAAUGUCAACUCAAGAUGGCUUAACUAAAAUACUCAAUUUAAUAACCAAAAGUAUCUAAGGUAACAACAACAAUUUUGCAGGUGAUUGUAGAGUUGUCAAGUCAAACCAUUAUAGACAAGCAUUUGGGGUUUUCACAUAAUCUCCUUCCACAUCUCAUCUUCUGUCACUAAAUACCCACUCUGGUGAGCAUAUUCCAUUUCAAUAAAGAUCAUCGCUUCGGUGCCAGCUUCUUUUUAUUCAGAUCGAGCCAGAAAACCUUUUUUUUUUUUCUAAAAUAUAAAGCAAAACAAGAUCUCAGUCACAACCACCAAAUCUUUAUUAAUGCAUUCCUUGUGCUACUUCUGAAUAUUAAUAAAAAUUAAUAAUUAAUUUUGCCUUUGGCAUUGCAAGAUAUACUAGUUUUAAUUAGUGUACUGUACUCCUAUACAAUUAAAAAAUAAUUGAUGUCCAUGCUUA
Homo sapiens (human) is the source of this 1653-nucleotide long non-coding RNA. Ensembl annotates it as long intergenic non-protein coding RNA 3103. The record is from Ensembl. Lineage: Eukaryota; Metazoa; Chordata; Mammalia; Primates; Hominidae.